This 62-nucleotide transfer RNA is filed under the name Amblyomma fimbriatum (goanna tick). Its description in RNAcentral is "tRNA-Pro". Lineage: Eukaryota; Metazoa; Arthropoda; Arachnida; Ixodida; Ixodidae. The record is from RNAcentral.
CAGAAAAUAAUAUAUAAUUGUAUAUAAAUUUUGGAGAUUUAAAGAGAAAAUUUCUUUUCUGA